AUUGUAUCAGAGCCUCAUCCUUCAUCAAUAGAAAUUCUUUUCCUCUCUAAAUUCUCUGUUCUUCACACAAAGCUUUCAUGGUAUCGAGAGCCAGGUUCGAUUGGGAUCUGAAUUUUUCGCCGGCAACCUAGAAUUUCUUCAAGAAACUCAUGCUUUCUAUCUCUAUUCUGCUUAUGAUUCAAGUACCAGUAGUGAAAUUCAAGCUAUUCAGAUAAGUUCAUUCUUCAUCUUCGUGGAUCAAGGUUGUUCUGAAAUUUCAUCAAGAUUGUUAAGAUUUGCUGUUAAUUAUCUACAUCGAAGCAUUGAAUUUGUGUUCUAAAGAUUAUUACUGAUUGAAGGAAGUUAUUCAUGGAGAUUUGUUAAAAGAUUGAAGGAAAAGUGAUAACCCUAGAUCUGUUGAAGAAACUCAUACUUUGAUUCUACUACUUGUUGAACAAACUGAUACUAGUUCGUGAUCAAUACCUGAAUUCUAUACAAGUUUAUUGUCGGAAUCUCUUAUAUUUGAGGAAGAUAAUAUUGUUUGGGAAAUUUGUUACAAUUGGGGAAAUCCGCUUUGAAGAAUUUGGUAUUCGUCAUAGUUGGAGAAAGGUUGAUAACAUUUUUUUUUGGACUAGAUUUGCCAUUCAUGUGUUGCUGCAAUCACUACGUCAACAAUGGCAUCAGACAACAUGCUUCAGACAACUGCAAAAUUUUUAACUGCCGUCUGAUACUUUGGGACGACAGCAAAAAUUAUUGUGUCGUCUGAAUUUUGAAUCACACAACAAUUGUUACAUUGCUGUUGUGCAAUUUUAAAUCAAACAAUGAUUGUUUUUCUGAUGUUGUCUGAAUCAAUUAAUUCAGACAACAGUUAUUUCAUUGAUGUUGUCCAAGGUUGAUUAACACAAUAGUUGAGCAAAUAUGUUGUCUGAUUGUUUUUAAUCACACAAUAGUUAUUACUUCUCUAUUGUGCAACUAUUAUUCAGACAAUUGUGGCAUUUUGAUGUUGUUUGAGUAAUUUAAUUCAAACACUAGUUUUUCUGUAUAUGUUGUGUGAUUGUUAUUCAGAUAAUGUUAUUAUUUGAUGUUGUUUGACUAUAUCUUUAGACAAUAGUUUUUUUUUUGUGUCUGUUGCGCGAUUAUUAGUCAUAUAAUGUUAAUAUUUGAUGUUGUCUUGCUAUAUAUUCAGACAACAGUUUAUCUAUGUCUGCUGUGUAACUCUACUUCACAUAAUGACUGUGUGUUUCUGUUGUCUAUGUUUUUAAACACUGCUGCCCUAAUUGAAUUCCCACACUUUUUGGCCAAAAUUCAAUUUUUCACCUCCAUCCAUUUCGGUGUCUACACGGCGUCGUUUUAACACUCAUACUCGUCUUUCAUUAAGGACGAGACCGACAACAACAAGAUCAAGGCCGAGCUCUGGUUCGACUCCGCCACAGCCUACGCCCCUUCCCGUACGAUUCCCUAUCUCUCUUCUCUUUUCUUUAUUCUUCAAUUCUUGUCAAUUCCUUGUCGAUUCCCUAUCCCUCUUCUCUUUCUUUCCAAAUUAGGGAUUUAGGUUUUCUUCUUUUUAAUUCGACUACUUCAAUUGGAGUAAUUAGGGUUUUAAUGGGUUUUCAAUCUUUAUGUGCGGGUGUUGAUUAUUUCAGGAAUUGAAGUGAUAUGGGUUUUACCGCGAUCUCAUCUUGGUAUAUGAUGUAUUUAGGGAUUAUGAGUAUUUUGGAGGUAUAUGAUGUUGCUUGCUUUGUGUAUUUUGCUUUCUUCACUGUUUUUUGGUGCUAGAAAGUUGGUUGAUUUGGCCGGGGUGAAUUGAAUUGGGUUUUCGUGGAAAUGUUUGUGUUGAUUGGGUUCUUAAUGGUGUUUUCAAGUGAAACGCAUGGUGGUUAGUACGUAUUAGGCUGGUAGUGGAGCUGCGGUUGUGUGAUUUGGGGCAUUCUUUCAUCAAAGCUGGCCAGGUGGGAUUCAGACAUCAACUUGUAUUUCAAUAUCUAGAGAUGGUGCUCUGAAGUGUAUGCCGGACGAAGAUUUUCCUUGUUCUUGAAAACAGACAUGAUAUUAUCAAAGAAGAUUACAUGAAUGAACUUUGCAUUCUCCAAGAUGAUGGGACCCUUCCCCAACCAGGCAAAUUUUGUUGCGUCUCUUAGCAAGGCACAGACCAAGAAGGUUGCACGGUUCCUUCCAAACCUGGAAAGGCAUUGAGGUCCAAAGCUUAGGGCAGGUCAUCAAAUCACAGCAAGCACAUUUCUCUCUUGGGUCCAUAGGCUAUCGAUGAAAUUCUUAACUAGGAAGAAGAUGGCGAGGAACACAAUGCUAAGCGUCAAAAGACUAAAGAUAAUCCGCCCUCAGGUUGAUGAAAUGAAGGUCCUUGGUAUGUCAAUCAAGUUCACCUAGAGCUCCACACCCUUCCCAGCCAGUAAAUCUGGAGAGAGGAGAGAGAGACGGAGAGAUCUCUUUGAUUCAUCCCGCUAAGGCUAGUAUGGAACUAUUGUUACAUUUAUACAAGUCCAAAUAUUGUUCAUCAUAGGUUUAUUGCUUUCUUUCGAUGCUAUUGCAUUGCCCCAUGUACUCCUUAGUUUCAUCUAAUAAAUAUUGUUGUUCUUCCAUGCAAGAAAAUGUA
Rosa chinensis is the source of this 2590-nucleotide long non-coding RNA. RefSeq lists it as uncharacterized. The record is from RefSeq and is a predicted model, not a curated record. NCBI's taxonomy places the organism in Eukaryota, Viridiplantae, Streptophyta, Magnoliopsida, Rosales, Rosaceae. The transcript has 4 exons.